GCACUGCUGAGGAGUCUCAUGGUAGGACGAAACGGCCGUCCAGUGC
Non-coding RNA from Schistosoma rodhaini, 46 nucleotides. The record is from Rfam. Lineage: Eukaryota; Metazoa; Platyhelminthes; Trematoda; Strigeidida; Schistosomatidae.